AACGAACGCUGGCGGCGUGUUUAAGACAUGCAAGUCGCACGGGAUCAAUUUUGUAGCAAUACACGGUUGGUUCAGUGGCGCACGGGUGAGUAACACGUGAAUAACAUGCCCUUCAGUGGGGAAUAGCCCAGGGAAACUUGGAUUAAUACCCCAUGGUAUCGCAAGAUUAAAGGUGGCCGCAAGGCUGUCGCUGAAGGAUUGGUUCGCGCCCUAUCAGCUUGUUGGUGAGGUAACGGCUCACCAAGGCUACGACGGGUACCUGGUCUGAGAGGACGAUCAGGCACACUGGAACUGAGACACGGUCCAGACACCUACGGGUGGCAGCAGUCGAGAAUAAUUCACAAUGGGGGCAACCCUGAUGGUGCAACGCCGCGUGGAGGAUGACGGUCUUCGGAUUGUAAACUCCUGUCAUCCGGGAGUAAGACCUGGCUGUGAAUAGCAGACAGGGUUGAUAGUACCGGAAGAGGAAGGGACGGCUAACUUCGUGCCAGCCGCCGCCGUAA
Molecule: ribosomal RNA, 503 nt
Filed under: uncultured bacterium
Lineage: Bacteria
Description: partial 16S ribosomal RNA
Rfam family: Bacterial small subunit ribosomal RNA
Source: RNAcentral